GACGAACGCUGGCGGCGUGCCUAAUACAUGCAAGUCGAACGAACCGCGACUAGGUGCUUGCACUUGGUCAAGGGGAGUGGCGAACGGGUGAGUAACACGUGGGUAACCUACCUCAUAGUGGGGGAUAACAGUCGGAAACGACUGCCAAUACCGCAUAGGACAUAGGAUCACAUGAUCCAGUGAGGAAAGGUGGCGCAAGCUAUCGCUAAGAGAUGGACCCGCGGUGCAUUAGCUAGUUGGUAGGGUAAAGGCCUACCAAGGCGAUGAUGCAUAGCCGACCUGAGAGGGUGAUCGGCCACAUUGGGACUGAGACACGGCCCAAACUCCUACGGGAGGCAGCAGUAGGGAAUCUUCCGCAAUGGACGCAAGUCUGACGGAGCAACGCCGCGUGAGUGAAGAAGGUCUUCGGAUCGUAAAGCUCUGUUGUUAGAGAAGAACAGCGCAUAGAGUAACUGUUAUGCGUGUGACGGUAUCUAACCAGAAAGCCACGGCUAACUACGUG
This 502-nucleotide ribosomal RNA is filed under the name uncultured bacterium. Its description in RNAcentral is "partial 16S ribosomal RNA". It matches the Rfam family "Bacterial small subunit ribosomal RNA", at positions 28 to 507 of the family's 1533-position model. The record is from RNAcentral.